CAGUACUGGCCUCCUCCUUCCCUCCCCUCCUCCAUGCUCCUGCCAAACCCUGCUGAUCUAUUCCUAUAAAAGCAGCCAUGUGGACCAACUCAGGGCCAUAAUCUCAUGGCUUGAAAGAAAUCAGGCUUCAAGCAAAAAAGAAGCUGUACACUAAGGGACAUUCUUCCCUCUCCGUGUUACUCAAGAACAAUUUCCCAGAAACUUCCUUCUCCCCUAGGAAAUCUCUCCCCACAAGGAUGCAAAAGAGGACUACAACCAGUAAAAAAAAGACAGAGCAGAAUGGAGGAAGCAAUGAUCCCACACACCUGUACAGCA
RNAcentral lists this long non-coding RNA (315 nucleotides) under Equus caballus (horse). RNAcentral's name for it is "lncRNA (ENSECAG00000055534.1)". The record is from RNAcentral. Lineage: Eukaryota; Metazoa; Chordata; Mammalia; Perissodactyla; Equidae.